Molecule: ribosomal RNA, 652 nt
Filed under: uncultured Buttiauxella sp.
Lineage: Bacteria; Pseudomonadati; Pseudomonadota; Gammaproteobacteria; Enterobacterales; Enterobacteriaceae
Description: bacterial SSU rRNA
Rfam family: Bacterial small subunit ribosomal RNA
Source: RNAcentral
AUUGAACGCUGGCGGCAGGCCUAACACAUGCAAGUCGAGCGGUAGCACAGGAGAGCUUGCUCUCCGGGUGACGAGCGGCGGACGGGUGAGUAAUGUCUGGGAAACUGCCUGAUGGAGGGGGAUAACUACUGGAAACGGUAGCUAAUACCGCAUAACGUCUUCGGACCAAAGUGGGGGACCUUCGGGCCUCACGCCAUCAGAUGUGCCCAGAUGGGAUUAGCUAGUAGGUGAGGUAAUGGCUCACCUAGGCGACGAUCCCUAGCUGGUCUGAGAGGAUGACCAGCCACACUGGAACUGAGACACGGUCCAGACUCCUACGGGAGGCAGCAGUGGGGAAUAUUGCACAAUGGGCGCAAGCCUGAUGCAGCCAUGCCGCGUGUAUGAAGAAGGCCUUCGGGUUGUAAAGUACUUUCAGCGAGGAGGAAGGCAUUGUGGUUAAUAACCACAGUGAUUGACGUUACUCGCAGAAGAAGCACCGGCUAACUCCGUGCCAGCAGCCGCGGUAAUACGGAGGGUGCAAGCGUUAAUCGGAAUUACUGGGCGUAAAGCGCACGCAGGCGGUCUGUCAAGUCGGAUGUGAAAUCCCCGGGCUCAACCUGGGAACUGCAUUCGAAACUGGCAGGCUAGAGUCUUGUAGAGGGGGGUAGAAUUC